AAACUAACUGAGGUUUUGACAGAUGAUUUUGUUGCAGGGGGAGGUACAAAGUAGAUUCGAACCUUGAAGGUGUUGGGAGAGAAUGGGACCAGGAGAGGACAAAUAGUGUCACUUCUCCGGCAGCUGCUAGUAGAAAUGACAAUGUACCUCUUGACUUAUGGAAGCACUCCCUGAAGAGUAGCCAGGCUUUCAUACGAACAGCUUGAAGGGAAUCAGGCCCUAAGUACUAGGCUUCAGCAGAUGCCUGUGUUUUAAAUGUACCCCUUGAUUAUUUGCAGUUUCCAACUUCAGAGCUAAAACAGCAACUACUUUAAUGUUAGUAACUUUGAGUAGAAGCACUUAAGUUCUGCCCCACGCUUGGACAUUGGGUAAAACCAAGCCUUCUUUGCAUAUGUGUUGAGGACAUAUGUGUAUGUAUGUUUGCGAGUGCAAAUGUACAAAAAUAACUGAGAUUAAAAUUUGGACCAGUCUCAAAGGAAGGACAUUCAGUUAUAUUUGCUUUCAAUGAGACAGUAAAAUGUGACUUUUUUUGCAUACUUGACUUUGCAUAUACAAAAAUACUGUAUGAUAAAAUAAUAGUUUUGAAUAAAGUUAAGAAGCUGAAGAGCUGCAUAUCUGAAUGCCAAAGACAGAUGUGUUUGGUACACAAAAAUAAUUGCAGAUGAAAAUAAAAUAGUUUACUUUUUCUGGCAGAGAGGGUUGGAAGGAAUAAAAACAGAUACAUAUUUCCUUCUAUUCUAUAUUCCACUUAAGUUUGUGUGAUUACUUUCAUCUCAACUAAUUUAUGUUUAUCCUUCGUCUCCCGAAUUCCUGAAAGCAUGAUCCACUGCAAUUCCCAGUACUUAGCCCUGCCCUGUUCCAUCUUUGUUUCAGAUAUUACUCUGCCCCUUCCUUUUGAAUAAGUGAAAUAACAGAAUAUUGGUAUCUUGGGAGAAGGAAUUUUUUUUUUAAGUCUCCAGAAGGUUGUAAAUGUGGAAAUAAAGUACUCUAUCACAGGACUAUAUAUACUUGUAUAUGAAUUUUAAUUUUAGGAGUUGUUAGCUGUUUGGUUUUUUCUUAUUCCAUCCCUACUUAUUUCUCCUUACACAAUCUGAAAUGCUUUGCUUUUCAGUACCAUCUGACAUACAUAAUUUAUUUAAUUUACUCAAGUGCUUGUUUAUUGGCUGUCUGUACCCACAAAAGUAAAGUUACAGUGGCAGCAAUAUUUGUGUUUUCAUGAAAAUAUACAAUGCUGCACCCUCCCUUUCCCCAGCACUAGAAGAGUAUCCACCAAUUGAUGCUCAAUAUUUGCUAAUUGAAUGAAUGAAGGAAUAUCUUAGAUUCACACUUUAUCAUAGGUAAACUGCAGAUGGUAAAAUGAGUUUCACAAGUUAAUUAUGAAAAUUAGAAUAUGGUAUAUUAAAUAUAAAGUGAUGAUAAAGUAUCUUUUGGUGUUCAAAGUUGAUAGUAUUUUUGUUGUUGUUUUUAAAGUAAAAGAAAUAGUCAUAUAGAAGAAACAGAAAGGCCUCUAAUAUAGAGAAGAGAUAGGGUAGAAUAGUUUUAUGGGGAAAGGUAAUGGAACAUAAAGGGAUUUGAUUUUGGAGGAAGGAUUAUUAAUAGACUGGCAACAUAGCUUGUAUGCACAACCCAUACUGUUGUGUACAGUAGAAUAUUCUGUGAGGGUACAAAUAUUCUGUGUCCGUGCUGUUCAUUGCAGUAGCUGUUAAUCCAUCUAUGGCUAUAGAGUGCAUGAAAGGAGAAUAGUACGACUAAGAAACUGAAGUUUUAAUUUUUUUUUUGUUUAAUUUUCAUUUAAACUCACACGGUCACAUGUGGCAGUAGCUAUUUUAUGACAGAGCAGAUCUUGAGCAAUGGCUCCCCAAACUAAAUGGACUUAACGAAGCCUAGCUUAAGAACACCCAUUAAAAUGCAGAUUUUCAUGCUUUACCUCUGAAUUCAUUUGCACUAGACCUGAGGGUGAGGCCCAGGACUCCACAUUUUAAGGAAUCAAUUUUGGAUUAUUUAUGUAGGUUAUCUUUCGAUUUUGCCUCUGUGCCAGUUCCUGGAGGUCUAUUUCUGUCAUUCCCUCUGUCUUUGCUUGUACUGUGUCCCCCAGUCUUUAAAAUAUAUGUCACAUUAAAUGUUACCAGUGGUUUCAUCCCAUCAGUCCAAAAACAAAAAUCAUAUCUAGGAAGCAGAGUUGCUCCCUUCAUUCUCUUUGAAGUUAAUUUUAAGUAAAGGCUGAUUUAUAAUUCCAUUCUCAUCAUUCACCUCUAAAUUUAAUCCUCCUUAUUCUUCCAGAGAGUCAAGGCUUUAUUAUAAGCGGGAUGAAGAAUCCUGGUAGUUUUGCAUCAUUUAGACUAAAUUCGGUAAUGCCCAUUGUUCAGAUAUUUACAAAUGUAUCCCCAAACACCUCUGAAGACAAUAAAAUUUUCAACUCUGUGGGGACUUGAGAGGUCCUACACUUUCAUUUUACUGAUUUAAAAAAAUGAUAACCAAAAAGUCAAGGCUGAAGAGCUAAUCAUUACUGUUUCCUUUUUUCCACAUAUCCAAUCUUUGGAGGCCAAAGGCAAAUGGUCAAAGAUUAAUGAUGAUUAACAUUUAUUGACCACUUCUUUUUCGGAAGAGGAUUAUAUGUGGGAAAUUUAAUGAGUAAAGAGGUUGUUUCCAUCACCUUUGUGAUGUAGUUGCAAUACCCAGGAUAUAUAGGUAUAAAUUGAGAAGUCUGGAGAGAGACAGUUGCCGCAUCAGUUCAAUGGCUCAGGAAUGCCAUCAAGGUUCCAAUGUUCUGGCUUUGUCUCUAGUAGGCUCUGCAUUUCGAUGGUCUAGUCUCAGUCUUACAAACUCUUGGUGACAGGAUGGUUGCCCCAGAUUCAUAAACAUGUCCUCCAAAGAAAGGAAAGGAAAAAGGUAGACUAUUUCUUAGAGUUAUACCGUUAUUAGGGAAAUAAAUCUUCUACACAAGCCUGCAGCAGACUUUUGUAUGUUUCAUUGGCCAGAUUUUUGAUGCCUGAUGACUCUUAACUGCAGGAGAGAUUAAUAAAUAAAGGGUCCUACCUUUCAGUCUCUGUGAUGGAAUCAAUAUCUUUCAGAAAGGAAAAAAGUGAAGGAAAACAGCCAUGGUUAGGCAAGCAUUUUCUACCAGAAGGGAAUAUGGUCUUGCUACGGAUAUAUUAAAUUUUUACAGGAACCUAAAAGAUGAUUAUGAAGACAUUUCCAUUUUGGAGAUUAGUGUAGAAGACUUUUGACCCAAUGGUUGUCAACUUAGAAAUUCUUUCCUUCCUUAGAGUAUGGAGGAAAUAAAACAACCAUCUGACAAGAAGAAUGAGCAAUAAGACAGAGGAGUCCUGAAGUUAAAUAAAACACAGCUCUAACAUUUUUUUCCCAGAAAAGAUUUUGGGGAGGGAGUAUAGAAUAAAUUGUUUAUAGCUCUCACUCUUAUAUUGAGCUGCCAUUGAAUAAGAUAAAUAGUCUACUAGUGUGUGAUGCAGAGAAACAGUGUGAAUCAAAGCAGGCAAUGUUAUUGCUUUCCAAGGCAGUGGUUUGCCUAAAUGGAGAGUACUAUGUCUGGUAUUUGUCACUAUUUCUUAGAAAGGGUAUAAUUUCUCUUGAAGGACUAUUACACUAAGUCACUUAAUGAUACCAAGCUUCUAAGAUUUAAGAUGUAAAGGAAGAAUGUUAAAAGUUGUGCAUUUGUUCACUGGGAGGUAAAAGGGAGUUUAAAUUCCUAUUUAGCCUUGGCAAUUUCCAUCACUGGCAGAGACUAUUCCUCUCUCAUGUUUUUCUCUUUAUUCAGUGCCAGUCCAUAUUCUGCUGCUACUUCCCUUACUCACCACUUUAACUGCAGCACUUUAUGUGAGGGGCACAAGUGAAGCAAGGAAUCUGUGCUGCUCUGUGAAUCAUCUGUCACAGGGAGGCUUAAAUGCGUGUUUCUUACCUGCCUGGAGGAAAAUGCAGUAAAUGCAUUUUGAGUGAGGGAGAGAAAGUUGUGUGUUCUUAAUAACUGGCAUAUUUAUUACGACUUAAACAGGAAAAUUGCAUAUUUGUGAAUUGAAAACCACAGGUGGAUGGAAUGAUCAGCUUUGUCUACAUGCAGAAUUACAACCAGGGCUAUGAGUAUGUGGUUCAUCAGUAAAACUAGUAGGAUAAAGCAGACCCAGAUUAAUCCUCUGGCUGUUCAUCAGUAACUGUAACAACAUGAGAAAAGUGCAUACCACUCUGGGCUUCAUUUUCCUCAUUGCUAAAAUACAGAUACUAAUCAUACACAUCAACAGAGUUUUAAUAAUAUUAAAUGAGCUAAUUACUAUAAAUUCUUUAGUUAGGAUCUGAUAUACAGAAAGCCCCUAUUACAUAUCAGCUGUGAUGCUGACAAUAAUAAUACCAACAAAAUCCAAAUGAGUAGUCAUAAGAUACUCAAAGAGCAAUUUUCCAAAAAGAAAAAUGAGAACUACAUGAAUGUAUGAAUACAAAUAAAAGACUGAAAUAUAUUAAAAUGAAUUCUGAGGUGCACAGAUAUCGAAAAGUUGGCUUUGAAAGCCACAAAACCCAGUGAAAUUGGUCUUUAUGGAGCCAGGCUAAAUGGCUCUCUGCAUUUUAGCUGGAUUCGCUGCCUUGUGUAAUACUGUGUUAGCCAUUUCUUAACCAUUAAUGAUUAAGAGGCUGGACAUUGCCUCAUGAAUCCACAUGGUUCAAACAAGUUCCAACACUUGGGAGCCCUUUGACCUCAGAAAAAACUGUUUAAAUUCUCUGUGGAUAAGGUUUUCCAUUGCAGGAGUUCCUGCUGGGGUAUUAGGGGAUUGGCGAUCAGUGGCAUCUCUGCAGCAUCAGGACACAGAUUGGAUCCCCAGCUGGCACAGUGGAUUCAAGGAUCAUAGGUCGCAACUGCUACUCAGAUUGAUACCUGGCCUGGAAACUCCGUAGGCCAUGGAGUGGCCAAAAAACAACAAAAAAAGACUUUCCAUUCUGAAUCAGGAGCAAAUUAUAUUAUUUUAUUAGCUAUUCCAUAUGGCUGCUUCUUAGGAGUUCAUGAACUUACUGUGCAAGCACUCAGAAUAGUGCAUGCCAUAUAGUAAGUAUUUAAUAAGAAUUAGCAAUUAUUAGUGGAUGAAAAAGAAAAUUCCAUCAGUUAUAGGAGCAAAAAUGACCUGGAUCCUCACACCGCAUGUUAUAGUUUCAAAUGAACAUUCAAUUCCAGUCAUUUGGGAACAGAACAUGAUCUUAUUCUGCGUACAUUAGAAUUUGGUGCCAAGAAUAAAAGGGGCUUAAAUAAAAUGGAGCUUUUUUAUUUUUCUUCUGAAGAUACAACAUAGUCCAGGAAGUUUCAGAAAGAAGAGAACUCAAAGGGAAAACAAAAGAACAUGUCUUUCAAGCUUGAAGAGAAUCACCUGUCAUAUGACACCUUUAUUGAGUCUUGACAACACUUUUUUUAAAUUCAAAUUCCAUUUUUUUAAUUUUUAAAUGAUUUUUAUUUUUUCCAUUAUAGUUGAUUUACAAUUUAUACUGUAUAGCAAAGUGACACAGUCACACACACACGUAUACAUUCUUUUUCUCACAUUAUCCUCCGUCAUGUUCCAUCAUAAGUGACUAGAUAUAGUCCCUUGUGCUAUACAGCAGGAUCGCAUUGCUUAUCCACUCCAAAUGCAAUAGUUUGCACCUAUUAACCCCAGACUCCCAGUCCAUCCCACUCCCUCCCCCUCCCCCUUGGCAACCACAAGUCUAUUCUCCAAGUCCAUGAGUUUCUUUUCUGUGGAAAGGUUCAUUUGUGCUGUAUAUUAGAUUCCACAUAUAAGUGGUAUCUUAUGGUAUUUGUCUUUAUCUUUCUGACUUACUUCACUCAGGGUGAGAGUCUCUCAUUCCAUCUAUGUUGCUCCAAAUGGCAUUAGUGUGUUCUUUUCUAUGGUAGACCACGUUUUACAUGUAAGAAUUGUUUGGAAAAGCAUUACUACCCCAUUGAUCAUUUUAAAAUAUUGCAGAAAUAUAUGUCUCCUUCCUAAAGUUUUGGAUACCCAAUUACAGUUCUGUUUGCAGAAAUACAAAUUGUGCCUUCACCUCUAAAAACAGUAUGGUUUGUUUUAUCUUCUGUUUGAGAUUCUUCAAGAGCAGGAAGAUGAUACUAUAAUAACCGAAGUAUGUUACAUCUGAAAAAUGAAUAACAACUGUCAUUAUUUUACCACAUUUGCUGUGUUCUUUUUUGACUUAAGACAUCCCAAUGAAAAAUAGCCUUGUUAAAAACAAUAGCUUGCCAACUCCUGCUUUUUAUUUGGCCUGGUAUACAAGUAAUGGAGACUGCAAAAAGAAUGGGCAAUAGUAACCCUAGAAAGGGGAUUUGUCAAAAAAAUAAAAAAUAAAAAAAAAA
Molecule: long non-coding RNA, 6334 nt
Filed under: Sus scrofa (pig)
Lineage: Eukaryota; Metazoa; Chordata; Mammalia; Artiodactyla; Suidae
Description: lncRNA (ENSSSCG00025022461.1)
Source: RNAcentral